GCCAAGGCUUUUAUUAAAGCCAUUAAGAAAUAUGAUAAGGAGAAAU
Non-coding RNA from Prevotella micans F0438, 46 nucleotides. Lineage: Bacteria; Pseudomonadati; Bacteroidota; Bacteroidia; Bacteroidales; Prevotellaceae. The record is from Rfam.